AGGGAAUAUUGCGCAAUGGGGGCAACCCUGACGCAGCAAUGCCGCGUGAGUGAAGAAGGCCUUCGGGUCGUAAAGCUCUUUUAUGGGGGAAGAUGAUGACGGUACCCCAUGAAUAAGCACCGGCUAACUACGUGCCAGCAGCCGCGGUAAUACGUAGGGUGCGAGCGUUGUUCGGAAUUACUGGGCGUAAAGGGCGUGCAGGCGGAUUGGCAAGCCGGAGGUGAAAGCCCGGGGCUCAACCCCGGAGGGUCUUUCGGAACUGCCAGUCUUGAGAGGGUCAGGGGCCAGCGGAAUUCCUGGUGUAGAGGUGAAAUUCGUAGAGAUCAGGAGGAACACCGGCGGCGAAAGCGGCUGGCUGGGGCCACUCUGACGCUGAGGCGCGAAAGCGUGGGGAGCAAACAGG
This 403-nucleotide ribosomal RNA is filed under the name uncultured bacterium. RNAcentral describes it as "bacterial SSU rRNA". It matches the Rfam family "Bacterial small subunit ribosomal RNA", at positions 356 to 776 of the family's 1533-position model. The record is from RNAcentral.